UUUUUUUUAUAAGAUUCCAUAUAUCUAAAUCUUUUGUGUUAUUAUUAUCUAAAUCUUUUUAUAAGAUUUCCAUAUAUUUGAUUGUGUUAUUAUUAUUUUUACUAAAAACGUUGCAAGAUAAUUUUUCUUUUUAUAAGAUUCUUUUCUCUAAAUCUUUGUGGUAUCUAAAAAAAAAUUAAACUAAAAAUAAAAAAAAUAAAAAAAUUGUUCAUGGUUUUGCCCUAAUUUUGCACGAAAUCAUUUUACCCAAAUCUUGCACGAAUUCAUAUUAUCCUAAAUAAAAGUUUUGUCAAGAUAUAUGUAAAAUCCAGAUUUUGCACAAAAUAGUUUUAUUCUGAUUGGUUUUACAAUAUUACAUUAAAAUUGUAUUAGUAUAUAAUACUUGAUUAUUUUAUAAAAUAAAAUGAUUGAUAAAUAACUUAAUUUAAAGGUAUAAUCACUUAUAAAAAUUUUCAUGAAUGACUAGUUUAAUGUAUCUUAAGAAGAUAUCAUAUUUUUGAUGGUCAAAGUUUUUUUUAAGAACUUAAAUUAUCACCAGAAGUUGAGAAAAUAAAUAUAAU
This 560-nucleotide small RNA is filed under the name Arabidopsis thaliana (thale cress). RNAcentral's name for it is "ATSL179310". The record is from RNAcentral. Lineage: Eukaryota; Viridiplantae; Streptophyta; Magnoliopsida; Brassicales; Brassicaceae.